This is a non-coding RNA of Cordylochernes scorpioides, 74 nucleotides long. Lineage: Eukaryota; Metazoa; Arthropoda; Arachnida; Pseudoscorpiones; Chernetidae. The record is from the annotation of a GenBank genome assembly.
UGUCCAGGGAUGGGAAUCGAACCCACAGUGUUCCGCUUACCGGGCAGAUGCCAUGUCCACUAGGCUACCUUGUC